RNAcentral lists this unclassified non-coding RNA (203 nucleotides) under Hevea brasiliensis (rubber tree). The record is from RNAcentral. Lineage: Eukaryota; Viridiplantae; Streptophyta; Magnoliopsida; Malpighiales; Euphorbiaceae.
GUCUAUCAAUAAAAAUCAAUCCAAGACAAAGAAACUCACCACAACAAAGUUAUUUGAUCUUGAAUAUCCAAACAAACACAUAUCUUCUACUAUUCCUCAUCUUUAGCCAUGCCCAGAACCAAAGUGAACUUUGCUUUGAUUGAAAAUAAGGCCAAGAGGAAAGUCUCUUGCAAGUUAAGAUUGAAAGGGUUAUUUAAAAAGGC